Salvia miltiorrhiza (redroot sage) is the source of this 978-nucleotide long non-coding RNA. RefSeq lists it as uncharacterized. The record is from RefSeq and is a predicted model, not a curated record. Lineage: Eukaryota; Viridiplantae; Streptophyta; Magnoliopsida; Lamiales; Lamiaceae. The transcript has 2 exons.
CAAAGUUAGAGCACCAGGCGAAGCGAUUGGGGCAGAGGUCGGCUGUCUGCAGCAGCAACUGCCCAAAAGUUAGAGAUUUUUUAUAAAGUGAAGUUGAAUUUUGGAGAUACACCUUUUUCCAACACAAGAUUGCACAUUAAUCUAAAAGUGAAAGAUCGAGUCGGGAAUUGAGUGUCUUUUAGGAUUAAGAUAAGCACAUAACUGAUGAAGCUCAUGAAUCAUUUCUGUGACCCUCAGUUAGUUGAUUUGAACUCAAACAAUUGUUUUAGUGAAUUAGUUGAACCAUGUCUCUAGAAAAUGAGUUGAUAAGUUAGUAUCUUAUAUAAUUUUUUGUACCUUGCAAUUUAUAAGUGAAGUUCUUGCAUGAACAUGAGUGAAGAGGGAAAAUUAUAUAUAAUUACAUCGCAAGCAAUCUAUUUGAAAAUAAUAAACAAUCAUAUGGCUUGAAGAGACUUAGGCUCUAAGCUUUCAGGUGUAUUGACGAUCAAUCCAGCUGAAUUUGGUAUAUUGAUGGAUAAAAUAAGGAAAUUUUGGUAAUCAGAGGAGGUUCGAUCGAGCAUGGGCCUUAACAUGUCGGAAGAGGGGAUGGGAAGGAACACCGGGAGCAUGGUUUCGUUCAUAUUUUUGUAGCUUUUGGUGGUGCUUCUAUAGCUAAAGGGGAACUGAAUAAAAAAAGUGAUGAAGUAAGCUUCGGAGAUGACGAAGUUGAGCGGCGUUGGGAAGCGACUCGCUGCAAAAGAAGUCGAUGAUGAAGGCGACGCCAAUGAUGAUGGAUAGAGAGGGGUGGUGGUGGAGGAUGAAUUUGCCGAGCUCCACCAUGGACACCAGGUGGCCUAUUCUUGGAGAUGGGUAGAGGGCUAUCAUGCUCUACUUCACUUAAUUCAUCUCAUCCAUGCUGCUUAUAUAUCAUCUAGCUGCUAAUCAGGAUUGUUGUUGGUCAAUGUUUAAAGAUAAUAAUGACCACAAUUUCACCUACCA